Molecule: ribosomal RNA, 253 nt
Filed under: uncultured bacterium
Lineage: Bacteria
Description: partial 16S ribosomal RNA
Rfam family: Bacterial small subunit ribosomal RNA
Source: RNAcentral
UACAGAGGUGGCAAGCGUUGUUCGGAAUUACUGGGCGUAAAGGGCGCGUAGGCGGCCUUCUAAGUCAGACGUGAAAUCCCCCGGCUUAACCUGGGAACUGCGUCUGAUACUGGGAGGCUCGAGUAUGGGAGAGGGAUGUAGAAUUCCAGGUGUAGCGGUGAAAUGCGUAGAUAUGCGGAGGAACACCGAUGGCGAAGGCAAUCCCCUGGGCCUGCACUGACGCUCAUGCACGAAAGCGUGAGGAGCAAACAGG